RNAcentral lists this transfer RNA (72 nucleotides) under Camelus bactrianus (Bactrian camel). It matches the Rfam family "tRNA". Rfam says of the family: Transfer RNA (tRNA) molecules are approximately 80 nucleotides in length. Their secondary structure includes four short double-helical elements and three loops (D, anti-codon, and T loops). Further hydrogen bonds mediate the characteristic L-shaped molecular structure. tRNAs have two regions of fundamental functional importance: the anti-codon, which is responsible for specific mRNA codon recognition, and the 3' end, to which the tRNAs corresponding amino acid is attached (by aminoacyl-tRNA synthetases). tRNAs cope with the degeneracy of the genetic code in two manners: having more than one tRNA (with a specific anti-codon) for a particular amino acid; and 'wobble' base-pairing, i.e. permitting non-standard base-pairing at the 3rd anti-codon position. Lineage: Eukaryota; Metazoa; Chordata; Mammalia; Artiodactyla; Camelidae. RNAcentral also lists the same sequence under 2 other names. The record is from Rfam by way of RNAcentral.
GGAGGUGUAGCUCAGUGGUAGAGCGCAUGCAUGGCAUGCACGAGGUCCUGGGCUCCAUCCCCAGUGCCUCCG